AAGGAAGGGAGGGAGGGAGGGAGGGAGGGAGGGAGGGAGGGAGGGAGGGAGGAAUGAAUUUGAAAAAAGAAAUAUAACAGAGGCAGUAAGUUGUUGAAGAAGUCUUGCUAAUAUAUAUUUCUUAGUAAUGACUAGAACCUGGGCCAUGCGUGCAAUUGACUAGCUUCCCACUGUAAAUGUCGGGCAGGUACAGAUGGGGCUUCUAAGAGAUGAGGGUAGAAGUUUGGGGGUUUGGCAUUCAGACCUGAAGUUCUUUAAGGGAGAAUCUGUUCAUCUCUUAGAAGGUCUGAAGUCUGGAGGUAAAGAUUCCCAAUGUCCAGGGAAACAACCUUAGGCAUCCAAUACCCUUCCUAUCUGCUAAUCCAAGUCAGGAAAUGAUCUGUGACUAGUAUGUGGAAAAGUAGAACAGGAAUCGCUUAUUUUGUGGACAUGUAAAUUUAGGCUAUUUCUAUUCAUAGGGUUGUAUUUUGUCCUCAUUCUCUUGUCAUAGGCAGGUACAUCCUUGCAUGCUAAGCUUUAUGCUGUCAGAACUGCAGACGACUGAUACUCUUCUCCCCUUCUCUUCAGAUUCCAUCCAGAUGCCCUUGUGCAGAGUUCAGACAAAUCUAUGAUAGCAGGGCAUAGUGUAAACAGCAUAAGCUUUGAGGUCAGAAAGACCUAAACUAAAUGCCAGCUUUGAAAGCCACUUAGAAGCCCUGUGGCCCUAAACAUAACAGCUACACUUACAUAGCACUUAAAACAGCCAGGAACUAUUCUAUGUGCCCUACACAUAUUAACUUACGUAAUUGUCACCACCAACUCAUGAGGUUGUGUACUAUUAGUAUCCCUGUUUUAUAGAUGGGGAUGUUUAGGAAUGGAAAGAUCAAGUAACUUGCAUCUAGGUAAGCUGCAGAACUGAGAUGUGAAUUUACACAGUCUGGCUCCAAAGUCAGUGUCUAAGCCAUGCACAGUGGCUCAUGCUUAUAAUUCCAGUACUUCGGAAGACCAAGGUGGGAGGAUCUCUUGAGGCCAGCAAUUCCAGGCUGCAGUGAGCCAUGAUCACACCACUGAUCCAGCCUGGGCAACAGAACAAGACCCUAUCUCAAAAAAAAAAGUCAGUGUCUUUAACCACUAAGGAAAGUUUCAUUACCUCCGUUCAGUUCCUCAACAACUGUUUUCUUGAGUGCCUACUCUGUAUCCAGCACUGCACAAGAUGCUGCCGAUGCAGCCAAGGACAUGGUCCUGACCCUCCAGGCACUGACGGUCUAGUGAGAGAGACAUCACAAUACACCAUGCUAGGUUGCAGGCCUGCUAUGGAAUCCAGAGAAAGGGCAGUCAAGAAAGGCUCACUGCUGGGCACAGUGGCUCACACCUGUAAUCCUAGCACUUUGGGAGGCUGAAGCAGGAGGAUCAAUUGAGCACAACAGUUCAAGACCAGUCUGGGCAAUACAGUGAGAUCCCAUCUGUAAAGAAAAAACUAUUUUUUAAUUUUAUAAAAAAGAAAGGCUCGGAGGAUGUGACCUCUGAGUCUCAUGGGGCCAGUGAAAGGUAGACCUUGGGGGCCACAGGCAGGAUAAAAGAGUAGGACAGGUUGCUCCAGGUAGAGAAAAUAGUGAAUGCAAAGAUAAUUGUGUGGUGGUUCAUGUGUAGAACAGAGGCAGCUCAGUGAGGCUAGAACAGAGCAUGGCAAUGGAACAGCUACAUGGGAUGAGGUUGGACUGCCAAGCAAAGUCAUAUUUCCAAGGGUCUUUCUCCCACACUAAAUUUGAAGUUGAACUUGAAAAAAAAAGAUGACAUUUUAGAAAACAUAGUGAAUGCACUGGAAAAUAUAAAACUGAAGGUAAAUAGUCCAUUUUACACAAAGAUGUGAGAGUUUGCAUUAAGCAGGAUAACAGGGAUAGAGAAAGGUCAGAGUCAACGGUAUUCAAAAGCUUGAAUAUAUAGAACCAGGGCUGGCUGCAUGUAAAGCAAAGGAAGAGAGAGGGAUCAAACAUGACUCGCUGGUUCUCAGUAAGAAGGAAGUAGCCCCAUUCAAUCCGCUAAGCGAUACAAGAGGCACAGCCCCAGAUCCUUAAACCUUUUUGAAUGGCUAAUCUGACACAAUUUUCAGCAUCAUUAUUAUAACUGAGAGGAAAUGAUGCUGGUAGGCGUGCCCAAAAGCCUCUCUUCUGAGCAGUCAUGAUGCACACAGCUGGCCCUGCCCUACCCUGAGCCCCCAGGCAGCCUUAAUGAGCAGCUGGGAGUUACCUGCAGAGGCCCAGACCCCACCUGCUGGUGUAAUGGACCUUUCCUUGCAGGAAGGGCUAUAGGUGGGAGCUGAAGAGCAGGAGGGGAUAUGAAAAGUGGCAGAUGGCACUAGGACACCAUCUGAUUUCCUAGUGCACUCAUCAAGCUCACUAAGGCAAGGAAGUGCAAGACUAUUCUGCCUUACACGGUGAGAAGCACAGCUCAGUCAGCACAUUAAAACCAGCAGCAAGGCCGGGCCCAGUGACUCACACCUGAAAUCCCAGCACUUUGGGAGGCCAAGGCGGGCAGAUCACCUGAAAUCAGGAGUUCAAGACCUGCCUGGCCAACAUGGUGAAACCCCGUCUCUACUAAAAAUACAAAAAUUAGCCAGGUAUUAGCCAAGCAUGGUGGCAGGCGCCUGUAGUCCCAGCUACUCAGGAGGCUGAGGCAGGAGAAUAGCUUGAACCCGGUAGGUGGAGGUUGCAGUGAGCCCAGAUCCUGCCACUGCACUCCAGCUUGCACAACAGGGCAAGACUCCCCGUCCCAAAAAAAAACAGUCACAGAGCCAAACCCACCCACUCAUGGAGCACACACUGACACAGUCAGGGACGUGCAAGUAAAAGGAGUGUCCUCUUACUUCAGUUUCUGGGGAUCCAGAACUAGAACUUGGGCAGUAGUUCUCAACCGGUGAGUCACAGAGGUUGGCAGGAAAACAGAUCAGAGCACAAAGGUGACCCUUUACUAGCACUCUACAGCAAUGCAGUCCAGUAGAGAAUAUAGAAAUAAACAGAACGCGAGCCCCCAUGUUAUGUAAAAUUUUUAGUAGUUGUGUCCAAAAGAGCAAAGAGAAACAGGGGAAAUUAACUUUCAUACAUUUUCCUUGAACCCUAAAUAUACAAAAUAUUCUUUCAAAGUGUAAUCAAUGUAAAAAUUAUUAACAAGACUUCUACACUCUUUUGAGUGUGCUGAGUCUUUGAAAUCUGGUGGGUGUUUGACAUUUACUGUGCAUUUCAAUUCUAGUUAGCCACAUUUCAGUUGCUCCAUUGCCCCAUGAAGUGGCUGAUACAGCACUAGAGCCUUUAAGUCUGAGAAGCCGGGACAGCAGGAAAGUCAGGCCCCUGACACACAAUCAGCCAGUGAAAUGAGGACAAAACCCAUACAAUCCGAGGAAUGGGGUCGAAAGGGAUCCACCGGCUGGUACCUGAGGUCCAUAUGCAAUCAGCCCGUAAAUCUGCAAGGCAGAGGAUAUCCCCCGCACUUCAAAAAAACUGUCUACUGCUUUAUAUGACUUCUUUUCUGUCACAAUUCUCAUCUUCAUGUCCAUUUAACCUCAGUUUACCAAAAAUCAUCAUUAUCCCCAAAUAUUUAUUUAUUUAUUUAUUUUUGAGGCGGAGUUUCGCUCGUUACCCAGGCUGGAGUGCAAUGGCCCUAUCUUGGCUCACCGCAACCUCUGCCUCCAGGGUUCAGGCAAUUCUCCUGCCUCAGCCUCCUGAGUAGCUGGGAUUACAGGCACACGCCACCAUGCCCAGCUAAUUUUUUGUAUCUUUAGUAGAGACGGGGUUUCACCAUGUUGACCAGGAUGGUCUCCAUCUCUUGACCUCGUGACCCACCCGCCUCGGCCUCCCAAAGUGCUGGGAUUACAGGCGUGAGCCACCGUGCCCGGCCAAAUAUUUAUUGAGAGUACAGUAUGGCGGAACUAUGUUAGAUAUUGGAUCCAGUAAUGUCCUAUGCAUCUACAAUGUAUUGCAGAUUACAAAGCCCUCAACACAAACCAAAGAAGUGGGUGUAUCAACUACCUAUUACCAUGUAACAGAUGGCUACAAAUUUAGCAGCUUAAAACACCACACGCUUAUUAUUUCAUCAUCUCUGUGGGUUAGGAGUCCAGCUAUGGUUUAGCAGGAUCCUCUGCUUAGACUCUCACAAGGCUGCUGGGUGCAGUGGUUCAUGCCUGUAAUCCUAGCACUUUGGGAGGCUGAGACAGAUGAAUCACUUGAGGCCAGGAGUUUGAGACCAGCCUGGCCAACAUGGUGAAACCUGGUCUUUACUGAAAAUACAAAAAUUAGCCAGGCACGGUGGCAGGUGCCUGUAUUCCCAGCUACUCAGGAGGCUGAGGCAGGAGGAACACUUGGACCUGGGAGGUAGGGGUUGCAGUGAGCUGAGAUCACACCACUGCACUCCAGCCUGGACAACAGAGUGAGACUCUGUCUCAAAAACAAAAAAGAAUCUCAAUCUCACAAGACUGUAUCAAGGUGUUAGCAAAGCCUGGGUUCUCAUCUGGAGGCUCAGCUGCGGAAGGAUGUGCUUCCACACCCACAUGAAUGUUAGCAGUGUUGAGUUCUUUUUGGUUGUAGAACAGAGGGUCAGUCCUCUGCUGGAUAUUGAUCAGAGGCCACCCUUAGGUCACUGUCUCGUGGGUGGUUCUCUCUCCAUAGGUGGUUCACAUGAUAGCUAACUUCUUCAAGGUUGGCAGUACAUCUACUUCCAGUCUGCUGCAAGGUUGUUUUAGACAAUUUAACAUAAUCAUGGAAUUGACAACCCAUCAUCUUGGCCAUAUUCUGUUGUUUGAAAGCAAGUCACAGGUCUACCCAUCCUCAAGGGCCUGUGAUUACCCAAAGGCACAAACAUCAGGAGUUGGGGAUCAUGGGAGCCACCUUAGGGUAUGUUCACCACAGUGGUAUUAUCCUAAUAAAUAACAUAGGUAAGCAGCGAGGGAGUGAGGGUCAGGGACAAUGAUUGGCAACAGUCACUCAGCUUGUAGGGGAAAAAUUCAUGACUAAGGUCCAUGGGUGCUGAUUCCAUGGCCAGUGUCCCAUGGAACACAGAGUGACAGUGAAACGUGGCUCCUGCCCUCAGGCAACUGGCUAAAUAAUUGGGGGUGGGGGCUGGAAAUAAGCUCACCCAGAACUCUGCAGUAUCCCCACAUAGGUGAGGGGUUUGGCCCAGUGAAUAAGUUGUCAGGAGCUUCCAUUGCCUUCUUGAAGUGCCCCUUCCUGGACCUAGGCAGGAACAUCAGAGAUGAGACAUGGGACUUUGGCCUGACAAGAAGAAAUCAUGGGCUCCCGUCUAGGAAUAGGACUGCCUGUUUUAAGAGAUUCCAUGAAGACAAGAACCUUCUCCACAACUUUUCCUAGGAGAUGUUGCACUGUAACUCCUAAGUGCCCCUUCUCCCGCUUAGGGCUUGACUAUAGGAUGGUAAGAUCAAAGCCACCUACUAUAGGUUUCCCACCUUCUCUGUCAGGCACUGUAGAAACCCCCCUGAUCUUAGGCUCACAUUUCAACAGCUUCAACAACUUCCAUUUCAACGGCAAGCCCCUGGUGGUAUAUCUGAAAGCAAUACCUGGACAAAUGGAUCUCCUAAUGCCUCUGCUACCCCACUCCCAACAUGUAGGAUCAAGGUCAAAUUUGAAGAAUUUUGGCUAGAUCAGCCAGGGGCAGUGAUUUACACCUGUAAUCCCAGCACUUUGGAAGGCUGAGGCAGGAGAAUCGCUUGAACCCAACAGGCAGAGGUUGCAGUGAGCCGAGAUUGUGCCAUUGCACUCCAGUCUGGGCAACAAGAGUAAGACUCCAUCUCAAAAAAAAAAAAAAAAAUCACUAUGUUUUGGGGGCUGAGAUAUGUACACUGCAAGUGAUGAAUACAAGACAGUAUAAGCCAUUUCAUAAACAUCAUUAAAAAUAAUGAAUUAAUUAAGUUUAUACGGUGAAGUAAAAAGUUACUAUAUAACAGUAAACACCUUAGCAAUUCACAGAUAGAAGAGCCCAUUGUGAACUAGAAUCAGGUAAUUUGAUUUGGGCUUAGAAAGAGACCGAGCUUUAGAGCAGUGCUUCUCAGGUGGGGGCAAUGUUGUUUCCCAGGAAACAUUUGGCAAUAUCUGAAAACAUUUUUGAUUGUCACAACCGGAGGAAGGAGGAAGGGUUGUGUUAGUCUAUUUUGCAUUGCUAUACAGGAAUACCUGAGACUGGAAAGAAAAGAGGUUUAUUGGCUCACGGCUCUGCAGGCUGUACAUGAAGCGUAGAGCUGGGCAUCUGCUUCUAACGAGGGCCUCGGAAAGCUUGCCAUCAGACAGAUAGCAUCUAUUAUAUACUUCUCUACAUCCAUUUUAGAAUCUUAAAAGAAGGCAGAGGGAGAGCCCGCAUAUCACAUGACAAGAGAGGGAGCAAGAGGUGGAGGAUGCCAGGCUCCUUUAAACAACCCACUCUCACAUUAAUUAACAGAUGAUCAAGCACGCACUACCACAGGGAGGGCAGCAAGACACUCAUGAGGGAUCCACCCCAUCACCCAAACACCUCCCACUAGGCCCACCUCCAGCACUGGAGGUCAUAUUUCAACAUGAGAUUUGGGGAUGACAAAACAUCUAAGCCUUAUCAGGGGCUAUGGGUAGGUGCAACCAGCAUGUAGGGAGUAGAGGCCACUGUAGAGUGGAUGGUACUAUAUACAUUUCACAAUGCACAGAAUGCCCCUGCAGCAAGGAAUUACGUCCUUUACAGCCAGAAAGGUCAGUAGUGCUGAGGCUGAGGAGCCCUGGCCUAGAGUUGGCAGAGAGGAAGAGAGGAAAGCUUUGGGCAAAGGUUGUGUGUGGCACUGUGAGAGUCAGGGGGUAGAGGGGAGGUAUAAAACAGAGGCAAGUAGAAGAACAAUAGAAAUACCAGGCCACCACCCCACACUGUAAUCUGGAAGAAGAUUCCCUCCACCAAAUAACGAUAACUUAUCUUCUGACACUGAUCACCAGCAGCAACAAAUGUAAGAAUCCCUUUUGCAUUUCACCUUUUAUUCCUGUUCACCUUUUUUUUUUCUUUGAGACGAGGUCUCACUCUGUCACCCAGGCUGAAGUGCAGUGGUGUGAUCUCAGCUCACUGCAACCUCCACUUCCCGGGUUCGAGCGAUUCUCCUGCUUCAACCUCCCAGGUAGCUGGGACUACAGGUGCAUGCCACCACACCUAGCUAAUUUUUUUUUUCUUUGUAUUUUUAGAAGAGACACGGUUUCACCAUGCUAGCCAGGAUGGUCUCGAUCUCCUGAUCUCGUGAUCCGCCCUCCUCGACCUCCCAAAGUGCUGGGAUUACAUGCGUGAGCCACUGCGCCCGGCCUCCUGUUUACCUUUUAUCCCUACGUGAAACGGGAUCUAAUAACCCUUCAGGGAUUUCAUCAGACCCUGACAAAUUUAUCUUCCAUCCCUACUAUACAAUCAAAGAUAUUUUAGGUUUAGUUUUUCCCUCCUAAUAAUCCUAGUACUAUUUCACCUGACCUUCUGAGCGACCCAGAGCCAACCCCACUCAACACCUACACCACAGUAAGCCAGAGUGGUACUUUCUGUUUGCUUACACAAUCACAAUCCACCCCUAACAAACUAGGAGGCGUACUGGCCCUUGUAUUCUCCAUUCUCAUUCUAGCAGCUAUUCCUGUACUUCAGAUGUCUACACAACAAACUGUAAUAUUCUGACCAUGGAGUCAAUGCCUAUUCUGAAUCUUAAUGGCCCACCUAUUCACAUUCACAUAAAUUGGAGGACAGCCAGUCCAAUACCCUUUUAUCGCCAUGGGACAGACAGCAUCUAUUAUGUACUUCUCUACCAUCUAUUUUAGAAUCUUUAAAUGUUCCCACGAAAGCUUAGAGAUCCAACCCAAUUCCUUCAUAUUGCAGCUGUGGAAACUGAGCCUAAAGAGACAGAAUUGAUUGCUCAAGGCCAUACAGGUUUCUAAACAGCAGAACCGGCUGCAGAACCCAGGCCCCUAACUCACUGGCCCGUCCUAUUUCUUCUGUUAUAUUUUUAACAUCUAACAGCCCAAUAAACUUUUGAACAUUUCUUGUACAAACCUCUGAGCUACAGAAUAGUUUUCAACCCAAUAGGAACCUUUUUUCCUAUUGAGAAACUAUUCUGUAGGUCAGAGGUUUGUAAAGAUUUUCUGCAAAGGACCAGACGAUGUCAGUCACAAGAACGCAACACUGCUGCUGUGGUGUGAAAGCACCAUACACCAUACAUAAAUGAAUCAGUGUAGCUGUGUUCCAGUAGAACUUAUUUAGAGACACAGAAUUUAAAUUUUAUACAAUGGAUAUGUCAGAAAACAGUCUCUUUUCUUUCAAUUUUUUUCAACCAUUUAAAAAUGUUAGAAGAGUCUGGACACAGUGGCUCAUGCCUGUUUAAUAGAAGAACUUUGGGAAGUCGUGGCAGGUGGAUCACCUGGGGUCGGAGUUUGAGACCAAGCCUGGCCGAUAGGGUGAAACCCGGUCUCUACUAAAAAUAUAACAAAUUAGCCAGGCAUGGUGGUGCACGCCUGUAAUCCAGCUAUUCAGGAGGCUGAGACAGGAGAAUUGCUUGAUUGAGCCCAGGAGGCGGAGGUUGCAGGCGGAGGUUGCUUGAACCCAGGAGGUGGAGGAGCCGAGAUCGUGCCAUUACACUCCAGCCUGGGUGACAGAAUGAGACUUCAUGUCAAGUAAAUACAUCAAUAAAUUUUUUUAAAUGUUAGAACUAUUCUUAGCUCCAUGCCGUAGGAAAAGGUGGUGGGGCGGGCAGGAGGUGGGAACUGGGAGGAUGUUAGUAGGUUUGGACUCUGGGUCAAAAUAGCGGAUAAGCUGCCAUUAGAAAGUAGAUCUUGCAACCAGCAGGAAAAGAUUUUUAAAACCUCCAGAAAAGUGCAAUAAAUUGCAAACAAUACAUACAGUAAAUCCUGUCAUUGCUAAAUAUAAAAUAAAGUUUCGUAUUUCUCUAUGUACACACACGUACACAUAAGCACUAGAGAAAGAUCUAGAAGGAUCUUCAUAAAAUUCUUAACAGGAAUUACUUGGGGGAAGGGAGGAGGCAUGAUGGGAAUAGGUCAAGGAAGGCCUUUCAGUGUUUCAUGUGUUUUAUAAUGAGAAUGUAUUUAUGUCUUAGUCCUGCAACUUUUUAAAGUUUUAAAUUUAAGAAGAGUUCAUGUGUAUCUUACACUAGUUUAAGGAAUUUGCCUCACGCCUCACAAAUAAACUUCAUCCCUCCUUUCGGUCUCAUCCGAGGAAAUCAGGGGCAGAGCUGGAGGAGCCUGGGACAGAGCUCCUGCUCCUGCUUAGCAAGCAGGAGGCAAUCCCAGGCCCUGGGGAUUUCUGGUCAUUUUACGGUUUAGGGGAGGGAGGAGAGAAAUGCUCUUUCAUCAACUUUUAAAAAAUAAAAUAAAAUUACUACUCUUUCUGCUGGGAUACUGGUGAUCUAGGGCUGUCAGAGGAUCUGACUUUGGAAACCCCAAAGACAAAGGAGACGUAAAAAGCAGCGGCAGUCAGUCCCCUGGCAUCUGGGUCGCCGCUCUUGAAACCUCCAGCACAUGUGGUUUCAAUCACGGAGCCUGGCGCCUUCCGCCACUCAGAAGCCAGCAGCUUCGGAGAGCCCAACCGAGUUCUUUGUUUGGGAGGAGCUGGGCCCAGCCAGGGUGGCCGCCUCUGAGAGAAGUUUUAGGCUCAGGCUUCCCUUUUCUGUAAAAUUCCGGAAAUCUCAGGGCAGCCCCAGGCGACAAGCUGCAGGCAGCGUGCAGCCGGCUCCGGGGAGCUCUCAUCUCUGGGGAGAGCCUAAUCCUGAGACCUCUUGGCCAGCGCCGUCCAAAGCAAACAGCGAGCAGAUGGUCCAGGCUCGGCCUCUGGUGAAACUGUUUAUUCUUAGGAGAUGGCCAUCUCUCCUCUGGGACCCUGCCGGCUCCACCAGCCUCUUACUCCUCUUUCCUUCCGCAUCUCCCCCUUCCUCCUUCUGAAUUUGAUACUACUUUUAAGCUUUAAGAAAGGUCUGCAAGGAAAAGUCAGCCUUCCAUUGUGGAAGGUUAAUUUGGGGUCCUAGAGGAGAAAGGUGGAAUGGAAACAUAUAGGGUUCAGGAAACUGGACAUGGGAGGUUUACAUACCCAGUUUGGAAUGAGGACAAACCUUGUUUGCCUAUGUUGGCAGCCUGUCACAUCUAAAACCAAAUGCCAUUAACCAGCCCCAUAAGUAAGAUUCCAUUUAUGGUAAGUUACUAGUUAAAGUUAUACUUUCAGAAAGUUCAAAGUGGAGGGGUGCCUUGGAAGGCUGAGGUGGGCGGAUCCCACGAGCUGAGGAGUUAAAGACCAGCCUGGCCAACAUAGUAAAAUCUCAUCUCUACUAAAACUACAAAAACCAGCCAGGCGGGGUGGUGUGUGCCUGUAAUCCCAGCUACUCAGGAGGCUGAAGCAGGAGAUCGCUUGAACCUGGGAGGCGGAGAUUGCAAUGAGCCGAGAUCAUGCUACUGCAUGCCAGCCUGGGCGACAGAAUAAGACUCCAUCUCAAAAAAUAAUUAAUUAAUUUAGAAAUUAAAAUAAAAAGUAUUACUUAAAAGUAACAACUAGGUUCCACCCAUGAAAUAUUACACUGGAGAGACCACAGACUUCCAUCUGUCCUACAGCAGCCCUUAAAGUGCCAGGGAGAGAAGGGCAGGGUGGGGGAGAUGACCCCAGAACUGGCUGCCGGCAGUAUUAGGGCAACCCAGAAACCCCCUCCUCAAGAAUCUGAAAGUGAUGACGCUUAUGAAGCACAGGAUUUAACUGAGUAUGCAGGAAGACACCAGUGGUGGAAUCUAGUGUUUGGCCACAGUUUGAGACCUAUGGUAGAAAAAAUGCUCGAUAGCUACCCAGAUUGAAUGGAUGGUGUUACUGGCCGGUGUGCAGGAUUGUUGUUCCAAAAAGUUCGAAAACUCGCAGCAACUGCAGUAGGUGGUGGCUUUGUUCUCCUUCAGAUUGCUAGUCCUAGUGGCUACCUGCAGAUUGGCUGGAAGAGAGUUGAAAAAGAUUCAAACAAAGCAAAAAGACACAUUAAGAAACAGGUGAACGAAACGGCACCUGAAUUCAACAAUUUAAUUGAAGAAGCAACAGAACGUAUCAAGCAAUUUAUUGUGAUAUUCAGUGGAUUUGCGGGAGGCUUUUUGCUCGGACUUGCACCUUAAGGACAUGAAUGUUCUCCCACAGUGGAUUCAACUAUAAGAAAGGAAGUGGGAGCAAUAAGAGGUGUCUCAAGAGUACAUGCUGCCAGAGUCACUAGGGCAAGGAGAAACUAGCUGGAAAAUACUGAAUUCACAACUUAGCUUUUUGCCAUCUGAAGCUUGGCAAACUUAGUAUCUGCUAUAAAACAACCUAUAUGGUGUGUGAACAAUAGUAUUCCUGAGCAAAACAUGGCUUUCAUCACUCUGUAAAAAUUUGCAUCUGUUUAGAAAUUAGCCUAAAAAGGCCGGGCAUGGUGGCUCACGCCUGUAAUCCCAGCACUUUGGUACGCCGAGGUGGGUGGAUCAUGAGGUCAGGAGAUCGACACCAUCCUGGCUAACACAAUCAAACUCUGUCUCUAGUAAAAACACAGAAAAUUAGCCGAGCAUGGUGGCACGCACCUGUAGUCCCAGCUACUCAGGAUGCUGAGGCAGGAGAAUCGCUUGCACCCAGGAGGCAGAGGUUACAGUGAGCCAAGAUCACGCCACUGCACUUCAGCCUGGGUGACAUAGAGCGAGACUUUGUCUCAACAACAAGAAAAAAAGAAAUUAGCCUAUAAAAUAUCACCAUUGGAUGUAGCUGUGGAGAGAAAAGAAAUAUGUUGGAUUUAUUGCCUAGUGAAAUAUUAUUCUUUUUAUUUAAAUAAAACGUUAUUCAGCCGGGCGCCAUGGCUCAGGCCUGUAAUCCCAGGACUUUGGGAGGCUGAGGCAGGUGGAUCACGAGGUCAAGAGAUGGAGACCAUCCUGACCAACAUGGUGAAACCCCGUCUCUACUAAAAAUACAAAACUUAGCUGGGCAUGGUGGCGCAGCCUGUAGUCCCAGCACUUUGGUACGCCGAGGUGGGUGGAUCAUGAGGUCAGGAGAUCGACACCAUCCUGGCUAACACAAUCAAACUCUGUCUCUAGUAAAAACACAGAAAAUUAGCCGAGCUAAUUUUCUGUUUAGAUUUAGAUUUGAGAAACAGCAGGUGAAGAUUUAGAGGCUGAGGCAGGAGAAUUGCUUGAACCUGGGAGGCGGAGGUUGCAGUGAGCUGAAGUUGUACCACUGCACUCCAGCCUGGCGCCUGGUGACAGAGUAAGAGUCUGUCUCCAAAAAUAAUAAAAUAAAAUAAAAUGUUCUCAUUGUGGACAAAGAAAAAAAAAACGAAGUAUUACAUGGGAAAUGCAAACCUACAGGCAAUUAUCUUACCUUACUCAACCCGGUUCCUAGCCUGGACUCCUGGAAUAUCUGUGAGACACCUCAAUCAGGACUUUGUUCUUCACUGUUCCCUCUUGGGACAUUAUCAGUCCUUAGCUUUGAUAAUAUAUACAUAUAUACACGGUAUAUAGGCUCUGUCAAUCAGGGUCCCGUCCCCCCACCCUUUUUUUUUAACUUUUGAGAACAGCACAAACACUGCAAAGAUAUGUGACAAUUUUCUCAGGUAUUUUGUUGUUCUUGAGGUGAAUAAGGAAAAAACAAUUCACAGAAUCAAAAUCAUUAAUUUAUUUAUUGCUGCUCUUGGAUUUAUGACAGCUGGGAUCCAUGAAGCCAAGUGCUUUCCUGACAGUGACAGUGGCUGGCACACUGACCAGCUCACAUGCUAGAGCGCAAUUUUUCUUUUUUUGUUUUUUUGAGACAGAGUCUCACUCUGUUGCCCAGGCUGGAGUGCAGUGGCACAAUCUCAGCUCACUGCAACCUCUGCCUCCCAGGUUCAAGCCUCCUGAAUAACUGGGACUACAGACCUGCACCACCACGUCGGGCUACUUUUUUGUAUUUUUAGUAGAAAUGAGGUUUCACCAUGUUGGUCAGGCUGGUCUCAAACUCCUGACCUCACGUGGUGUCCCCCCACCUGCCUCAGCCUCCCAAGGUGCUGGGAUUACAAGUAUGGGCCACUGUAUCUGGCCUACAGUACAAAUUUCAGCAUAAAAUGCCCUUGCAUAAAAAACUCGAUGGCUCCUCUUUGCCUAAGCACUGAGGACAAAUUUUAAUCUCCUUAUUAUGCUACUGUGAAAGAAAAAAUUAACAAUAAUACUUGCUAAAGAUGGUGAGAAAUACACUAUUCAGGGGAGUAUAGGAGAGAAAAAAAUGUUUUCCUUCUACUCUUCUUGGUCUUUUGCUGGGGCUCUGUAACAAAAGACAGAUUAAUAAGAGAGAAGCAUACAAUUUUUUUUUUUUUGAGUCUUACUCUGUCGCCCAGGCUGGAGUGCAGUGGCAUGAUCACAGCUUACUGUAACCUCCUCUCAGGUUCCAGCAUUCUCAUGCCUCAGCCUCCCAGGUAGCUGGGAUUACAGGUGUGUGCCACCAUGCCCGGCCAAUUUUUGUAUUUUUAGUAGAGAUGGGUUUUCACCAUGUUGGCUAGGCUGGUCUCAAACUCCUGGCCUCAAGUGAUCUGCCCACCUUGGCCUGCCAAAGUGCUGGGAUUAUAGGCAUGAGCCACUGCCUACAAAUUUAUUUAAUGUAAGUUUUAUGUGACAUGAGAGCCUUCAUAUGGAAAUGAAGCCCCAUAAAAAUGGUUAGACAUGUUUUUAUUAGGUUUGAUGAAGAGUGAAAAAUCAUGGGAAAGGGGUAUGAUCUAAGGGUAAUAAGCUGGAGGAAACAGCAAGGCCUGCCCACUCAGAUUCCUCUCGGUGUUCCUGUCUUCAGAGACAAGGAUGCUCCUUCCUCUGGGCAUAGGGAGGAUGCCUCUCACAUUCAGGGGCUUAGGACCUUCUUGUGGGGGAAGGUCAGACAGUCCUUCCUGCACCUGCUGUUUCUCAAAUUUCUUCAGCUUAAAAUAUUCAAUAUGCCAAGGUGGCAUAUUUUGGGGUAGGAUGUUCUGAACCCCAUCAUGGUAGUGGCUACAACAACAAUGGGGUUUUGUAGUAUGGGCGAGACAUGGGGCUCAAAUUCAGGAAUAAUAAGGAAAAGUGGAAAUUUAUAGCCAAGGAAUACGGCAGGGGAAUCAGUGGAUGGAAAAUCACUAGCAAGUAGGGUAACUCUUCACUAAACUGACUUAACAAGGUUUCUGCUGAAAGGAAGCCAGGGUAAGAAGAUGUUGACAGUGGUCAGACGAGAGAGGGGGAUUUCACUAAACUCAUUCAGAGGGAUUCUUGAUAAAACUGAAGUAAGUGGGCCCAGACAGAGCCCCAGGUUGAGCCUAGACAGAAGGAGGACCCAGAGGAGCCUGACUACAGCCAGGUCAAGGAGUCUGUGAUUUUGCUCCAUUAACCUUUUCCAGCCUCAUUUCCAGUCACUAGAGCCUGCAGAUUCUACACCGACAUCAUUAUAAACUUCCCGUCUUUCCCUGAACAGAUCUCCAGGUCAUCCCGACAACUCUAGAAUUCCUUGGCAGGCAGUUAUAAUCUCAGAGUUCCAGGCAUGGUGGCACACCCCUGUAAUCCCAGCCUUUGGGAGGCCAAGGCGGGCAGAUAGCUUGAGGUCAGUGGUUUGAGACCACCCUGGCCAACAUGGUGAAACCCUGCCUCUACCAAAAAAUAGAAAAAUUAGCUGGGUAUGGUGGUGCAUGCCUACUUGCCAGGCUGAGGUGGGAGAAUCGCUUGAGCCUGGGAGGCAGAGGUUGCAGUGAGCUGAGAUGGCACCAUUGCUCUCCAGCCUAGGCACAGAGUGAGACCCUGUCUCAAAAAAUAUAUGAAAUAAAAUUAAAAUUAAAAAACAGGGCAAGAUGCAGUGGCUACACCUGUAAUCCUAACACUUUGGAAGGCCAAGGUGGGUGGAUCGCUUGAGGUCAGGAGUUCAAGACCAGCCUGGCCAACAUGGUGAAACUUCAUCUCUACUAAAAAUACAAAAAUAAGCUGGGCUUGGUGGCAUGCACCUGUAAUCCCAGAUACUCAGGAGGCUGAGGCAGGAGAAGAGCUUAAACCUGGGAGGUGGAGGUUGCAGUGGGCCAAGACUGCACCACUGCACUCCAGCCUGGGGGACAGAGCAAGACUCUGUCUCAAAAAUAAAGUAAAAUAAAAUGUAAAAUAAAAUGAGAGAGACAAAAAUAAAGGGAAAAGUUAUAACCUCAGAGCACAGAAAAAUAGAGAACACUGGGGAUACUGUGGUCUAGGAAAUAGCCCUCUCCAUGUGGACCUUCUGAAUAGCUUUCCAUACAUGACAGUUCCCCAUAGUAAUCAUUCCUUUUUUGGUCCUUAAUAGGGCCGCUGCCCACUCACCAGCCAUGUGCCCCAGCAUGCAACUAAAUCAGCCUGCAGGAAGAUAGGAAUCAUAUCGUUCUGCAAUUUGCU
Callithrix jacchus (white-tufted-ear marmoset) is the source of this 15347-nucleotide non-coding RNA. Lineage: Eukaryota; Metazoa; Chordata; Mammalia; Primates; Cebidae. The record is from RefSeq and is a predicted model, not a curated record.